Molecule: long non-coding RNA, 191 nt
Organism: Thalassophryne amazonica
Lineage: Eukaryota; Metazoa; Chordata; Actinopteri; Batrachoidiformes; Batrachoididae
Exons: 2
Source: RefSeq, a predicted model, not a curated record
AUGCAGGCCGAGUGUCCAGAGUUUCGAGGUGGUCUUCAAUUUUCCGAUCAGUUCCUGCGGUACCACCAGACAGGUUGAAGGCGGCUCAAUGGUGUACACCAAUGCUGUCCGUGCCUACAACUCCAGCUAUGGUGAAAUCACGCGCCAAUCCCACUUCAAGCUGGAGGUGGGCUGCCACAUGCAGCAGAACU